GGGGGAGUUGGAGUUACGGGUAAACAGGAUUUUUAAUUGUUAUAUUAAGGAUAGACAUGUGCUUAAAAAAUGGAAAAACAUGAAAAGUAGAAUUGCAAAUUAAAGUGUGAAAUUGAAGUGAAAAAAAAAACCAUAAAUGACCUUAUUUGUUACCUGGUGGACAACAUGAGGAAACAACCAUAAAUAAAGAGGAAAGCCUUUUUUUUUCUUUUUUCUUUAUAGCAAGAGAAGUCGGAAAAGGGCUAGAUUUAAGAAUGUAGGAGGAAAGGGGGAAUUAGAAUUCAAAACUUUUAAACUUUGAAAUCUCAACCUUAACCAUUAAAACAAAGGUGUUCUCGACAAAAAGAGGAGCGCUUCAGAUAUAAGCAUAAGAGAAUUUGUCAUGUUGAACAUUUUCUACAACAAUUAAGUGGUGAAGAUCAAUUUAUCAACUACAAGUUGCAAUAAAUUUUUUAAAGCAUAUAUCUAGUUAGCUAGUUAUAUAUUUACAUAUAUAAGUGUGGUUUGAUUAAUUGAUGCCCAAUGUAUAUUCGUUAAAUGAGUUUCAUGUGUUACUUUUUUAAAAAAGUGUAAUUAAUUUGAAUAAGUAUCUAACUAUAUAUUGCAAUUAAUUAUGAUUGUGUAUAUUCACAUGUUAAAUUAAAUAUAAUUUAGGUUUAUUAACAAGUGCACAUGCCCGUUAGAAAAAUUCAUAUAUAAUCCGAAUUUCAAAUUUCUACAACGUUAUUAUGAUCUUACAAUUGUAACACAUCACCAUCAAGACUUCCUUCUUUUCUUUUGGCAUACUCAUUUCGGCAAGACUUUUUUAUUUUACUUUUUACGUGUUGUUAGGAAAGAUGGCGGGCGUGACAGUGACAAUAUCGCUGAACUUUUCUUUCUUUCACUUGAAACUUCAUUAAGCGAAGAUGCUGCUGGUGGCUCC
This 922-nucleotide long non-coding RNA is filed under the name Coffea arabica (coffee). RNAcentral describes it as "long non-coding RNA (CARA_LNC005360)". The record is from RNAcentral. Lineage: Eukaryota; Viridiplantae; Streptophyta; Magnoliopsida; Gentianales; Rubiaceae.